Mandrillus leucophaeus (drill) is the source of this 353-nucleotide long non-coding RNA. RefSeq lists it as uncharacterized. The record is from RefSeq and is a predicted model, not a curated record. Lineage: Eukaryota; Metazoa; Chordata; Mammalia; Primates; Cercopithecidae. The transcript has 2 exons.
GCAAAGACAAACCAUCUAAAUAGAGAGAUUAAUUCCACAUCAGUGCAACAUUAAAAGGGAGAGAGGAUGCCAAGAAUCCCAUUAAUUUGGGAUAUAAGUGUCUGAAAUUUCCUCAAAACGUUUACACCAAGGAAUACCAACAAGACAAUAUCAAGCAGCUCUCCCUAAGGAUAGAGAGGCAUAUUAAAACUAUAUAACCAACAGAACCAUUUAAAGGUAAACCAUUUAAAGGUUAACCAUUUGAAAACAUCACCCAAGUUCCGUGUCUGAAUGAAGGCUCUCUUCUCAAAUGCUCCUCAUUACUCCAGAGCAGCUAUAUUUGGAUUAUGAUUAAAACAAGGCUGUUUUUUCUU